AGUGAGAUAGCUGGGUCAAAUUGUGGUUCCAUUUCAAGUUUUCUAAGGAAUCUCCAUACUGCUUUCCAGAUUAGUUGCAUAGUUUGCAGUCCCACUAGCAUU
Molecule: microRNA precursor, 102 nt
Filed under: Marmota monax (woodchuck)
Lineage: Eukaryota; Metazoa; Chordata; Mammalia; Rodentia; Sciuridae
Source: RNAcentral